This 253-nucleotide ribosomal RNA is filed under the name uncultured bacterium. Its description in RNAcentral is "partial 16S ribosomal RNA". It matches the Rfam family "Bacterial small subunit ribosomal RNA", at positions 524 to 776 of the family's 1533-position model. The record is from RNAcentral.
UACGAAGGUCCCAAGCGUUGUUCGGAUUUACUGGGCGUAAAGAGUCUGUAGGCGGUGGGGUAAGUCAGAUGUGAAAUCCCGGGGCUCAACCCCGGAACUGCAUCCGAUACUGCCUUACUUGAGGGUCGGAGGGGAGUCUGGAAUUCUCGGUGUAGCAGUGAAAUGCGUAGAUAUCGAGAGGAACACUAGUGGCGAAGGCGAGACUCUGGACGACAACUGACGCUGAGAGACGAAGGCCAGGGGAGCGAAAAGG